This 468-nucleotide ribosomal RNA is filed under the name uncultured bacterium. RNAcentral's name for it is "partial 16S ribosomal RNA". It matches the Rfam family "Bacterial small subunit ribosomal RNA", at positions 28 to 507 of the family's 1533-position model. The record is from RNAcentral.
GACGAACGCUGGCGGCGUGCUUAACACAUGCAAGUCGAACGGAAAGGCCCUGCUUUUGUGGGGUGCUCGAGUGGCGAACGGGUGAGUAACACGUGAGUAACCUGCCCUUGACUUUGGGAUAACUUCAGGAAACUGGGGCUAAUACCGGAUAGGAGCUCCUGCUGCACGGUGGGGGUUGGAAAGUUUCGGCGGUUGGGGAUGGACUCGCGGCUUAUCAGCUUGUUGGUGGGGUAGUGGCUUACCAAGGCUUUGACGGGUAGCCGGCCUGAGAGGGUGACCGGCCACAUUGGGACUGCGGUACGGCCCAGACUCCUACGGGAGGCAGCAGUGGGGAAUAUUGCACAAUGGGCGGAAGCCUGAUGCAGCAACGCCGCGUGCGGGGUGACGGCCUUCGGGUUGUAAACCGCUUUCGCCUGUGACGAAGCGUGAGUGACGGUAAUGGGUAAAGAAGCACCGGCUAACUACGUG